This 22614-nucleotide long non-coding RNA is filed under the name Capsicum annuum. RNAcentral's name for it is "long non-coding RNA (CANN_LNC015108)". The record is from RNAcentral. Lineage: Eukaryota; Viridiplantae; Streptophyta; Magnoliopsida; Solanales; Solanaceae.
UUGAGCCUAUCCAAGCUUGAUAAAGGGCAGACGGACCUGGAUUUGCCAACAUCGAAAGCAAUCAUACUUGGUUUGGAAAUCUCUGCGCUUGCUAUGUUAUAUCAAUAUCAGUUGUCGAUUCACUGAUAUUAGCAACUUUCAGAUCAUGUAGUUAUUAUCCUUCAAGGUUGAAUCAGAUAGAUUCAUAUCUGAAAGAGAUUGACAAUAAUUUCUUUCAAAAUUGACUAUUUGCCCCUCUGUUAGAGGUGUUCCAGAAAUGUUUGUGAUCGAGUAAAUAGCUCUACGAACGAAUAGAUCGGAUCAACGGGUCGAGUUUGACCAUCAUAGCCACGAAUGCCUCCUCUCAUGAUCAUGAUGAACAACUUAAAUGCCGGUCAAUGUUGAUCAUCGUGAUCACAUGGUUGGGAUCGUGAUCUCGAGGUACUAUUCACCUGACUAAAAAAUACCAAUAUAGUUCAACCAUAAAGUAAAAAUUCAAAUUUUGUCUAUCUCUUUCAAUUUUUGUGGUCCACAGAAUAACAUUUAUUUGCAUUUUAAUAAUAUUACUUGACGUAUCAAUUCGUGUAUGAUACAUAAUUACUAAUAUAUAUUUUCUACAUAUGGAAAAUAAAAUUUUAGUGAUUCGCUCUCAAUGGAUAAAACUAAUUCAAUUUGAACAAAUAAUCCAGUAGAAUUAAACCAAAAUAAGUUAAAUUUUGUCUUAUCACAUUAAUUUUAGUGGUCUAUAGAAUAAUAAUUAUUUUUAAAAUUUAAUCAAAUAUUAUCCAACACCUUAAUUGGUGUAUGGUAUAUUAUUCCUAAUAUAUAUCUUCAAUAUAUGAUAAAUAAGACUAAAAAAAAUAAAUAUUUAGCUGUCCACAAGUGAAAACAAACUCUAUAUGAACAAAUAAUGCAAUAUAAUUCAAUUAUAAAAAUUCAAAUUUCAAUUUUUCAGAUUUUUUAUCAAUUAUUAUCUAACACCUUUAUUUGUAUGUGGUACAUGAGUCCAAUUAUAUAUCUUCAAUAUAUGUGGUAAAUAAGAUUAAAAAAACAAAAAAUUAGUGGUCCACUCUCAAACACGUGAACACAAAUCCUACAUGCGCAAAUAAUUUAAUAUAAUUCAUUCAUAGAAAUUCCAAUUUCAUUUAUCAUUUUUGAUUUUAGUGGUCCAUUCUAUAAAAAAUAUGUUAAGUGUGUCAAUCUUAUUAAACAAUAAUCCUUAGACAAUUAUAUCUAUUUCACUUAGUGAUACCCUAUUUCAAAGAUUUCAGAACUUUCUUCGCGAAUAGAUUAUUUGUUUAUUUGAAUUGCAUGAUGGGUGUUUGUAGUAGUAGAAGAAAUUUCCAAUAUAGUUGUAAAAAAUUUAGUUUGAUAGGAACCUCCUCUUCAUCUAAAUGUUGUGCACUUCAUUUCUUUUACUCUCUGUUUCAAAAAGAAUGACCUAGUUAGCUAGUUUGACUAGGCACGGAGUUUAAGAAAUUAAAGAAGAUUUUUAAUCUUGUAGUCCUAAAUUAAAGUUAUGUCAAAUGUAUAAAAAUAUUUUUUAAUCUUGUGAUCUUAAACAUGUCAUGUGGAAAGGUGAAUCAAAAGUAUUGCCAAAAAAAGGAAAGGGUCAUUCUUUUUUAAAUAGAUUAAAAAGGAAGGUAGGUCAUUCGUUUUUUGAACCGAGGUAGUAGUUACUUACCAUGAGGAUUAACGUAUUGGUGUCAGAAAACUUUCUUUAAUAUACAAAUCCUUAUUGCUUUAAUAUUCUCUUUGAUAAUGGGAAGAAAUUCUCCUACACAAGGUUUAAUCAAAGUUACAUGACACAAAUCCUUGGAUUUCUAUACAUGGUAAAAUGACCAAGGUUGAAGGUCUUCAUAGCUGGGUGAGUUAUGGUUUCUUUGCUGUUUCCUUUCAGCUUCCAACAUGAUGGAAGUUGGUUAGCAGAUUUGAUCCCACAGAGACAAAAAAAUUAGGUGAUUUCUUCUGAUUUGUCCUUGCCUUGGUGGACAGAGUUACCUGAUACUAUUGCUGGUGAGCGGUAGGAGGUAGAAGAUAUCUUGUCGAAUGAGUCAAGGAGCACAAAAUCUGGUUAUCUGGUUAGCAUCCAGCCUAUUAUAUUUGCAAAGCAAUCACCUGCUCAUAUGGCGCCACCCUUGUGCUUCAAAACAGAAAUUACAGUAAUUUUUUUGGACAAGAACUGCAAUAUAGAAACUAUUCAAGAUUGUUUGCUGGUAUAGGUGACUAUUCAAUUCUAUCAAAGAAGAUAGCCACUGUGAUGCCACAAGUAGGGUCUGAAGAGGGCGAGGUGUAUGCAUAUCUUACCCCUACUCUUCUGUGUGGCAGAGAAGUUGUUUCCGAUAAAUAUUCUAUCAGGUAACACUGAACAUGAUUAAAGUGGCAUCAGUCUGUAAGAAUGAUAUUUCAUUCAAUUUCGGAUGUUUGUUCUCGUUAUAUGUUACAUAUUAUAGUGUACAGAUUGUUAUCCGAUAAUGAAAUUAUGCUUUAGUAUAUAUUGAUUUUAAUGCUUCAUGGUUUACAAUUCAUACACCGAAAUUCAUUGCCCAUGGAUAAAUAAAAACCGUUUCAACAUCAAAAACAAUAAAAAGUAAAGCAAACAGAUAGUAACGCAUUCAAAAUAGGGACCAUAUAUCGCCCAUUGAUUCUAUACCUGAUUCAUAAGUAGAAAGAUUUUCUGGUGCUUUGCUAGGGGCUAACACUCACGAAAUGAAAAAUGUCAAAAUAUGAACAAGGAUGGAUAUUAUUAGAAAUGCAAAAAAAGAAAAAAAGUAUUUGUAAAGCAAGGAAGAACUACAUCACAUCACUAAUAAUCUUACCAUUUUUAUUACUGCCAUGUGACCAUGAGGUCACGAGUUCAAGCGUUGGAAAGGUAAGGGUGAGUACAAUGCACACCUGUGGUAGGGCUCUUCCCCUAAUGUUGUGCAUAGCCGGAGUUUUAGUACACUGGGAUGACCUUUUAUCUACAUAAUAUUUAACCAAAUAUUAUCUAACACUUAAUUGUUUUAUGGUUCAUAAUUCCUAAUAUAUAUCUCCAAUAUAUAGUAAAUAAGACUAAAAAAAAUUAAACUUUCAGUUAUCCACAAAUGAAAACAAACCCUAUAUGAACAAAUAAUCCAAUAUAAUUCAAUUAUAAAAAUUUGUAUUUCAUUUUUUUAAAUUUUAAUCAAAUAUUAGUGGUCCACUCUCAACACGUGAACACAAAUCCUAUAUAUGUACAAAUAAUCUAAUCUAAUUCAACCAUAAAAAUUUAAAUUUCAUUUAUCAUUUCCAAUUUUAGUGGUCCAUUCAAUGGAAAAUAUGUUAAACAUGUCAGUAUUAUUGAACAAUAAUCCAUAGAAAAUUAUAUCUAUUUCACUUAAAGAUACCCUAUUUUAAUUUAUUUUUUUAAAUAAUUGUCACGAUCCGAACCGAGGCCCUGGUCGCGAUGGACAUCACAAACCGUGAAGGCCCAAGAACCCUUCUCUAACUAGUAAUCAUAUAAACAAUUCAUAUACUAUAAAGAAAAUGCGGAAAAACAUGACAAGGCGGAACAUGUUCAUUCUUUUGUUUCAACUGAACAAUACAAAAAUGGGUUCAUGAAACAUUCAAAAACACCUGGCACUAGUGUGUGAAAUCUCUAACUACUCAAAAACACUAUAGUCUAUAUAUUGGGACAAGGCCCCCUAUCGGACCAUAAACAAAAAUAAAAUUAUCAAUGUCAAAUCAACAAGGCCUUUCGAAAUAAGGGAGGCUCACCAACUACAAACUUCGGACAACCCAAUCUACUGCUUGGCUGGACCCUAGGACUGUGUCUCAGAUCCUGAAAUAUAGAGGGUCAACAAGAUGUACCGGUACGCAGAGAAACCCAAGAUAAUACAUUUAUAUAUACAAAAUAAGUGAGAGCGAUUCAUAAAACCUUUUACGUAUAAUAUAUAAAAACACAUGGGCAUACUUUAAAGACUUUGAAACACUUAGAAAUACUUCUUUGAAACCAUGGCUCACUCUUUAUCUUACUUCUGAGCUAGGUGGUACACCCCAUAUAUCUGAAAGUACCCCAUGGGCUACAUGGGAUCCAGCUUUAACUCGGCGGCCAAGUCUCCAACCUAAUUUUGCCGCAAGGGUUGGAAUAUCCAAAUCUGAUAUGCCACAGGACAAUGGACCAGCGUAUAAUCCCUCUUUGGGAAAAUAAUAAACCCGUAUAAAAAACAUAAUUUCGGGCAAUGAAUCAUAUGACUCAUGCCUUCUUUGGGUAACCACCUAACUCUCUUAGGACCCAUUUUUAACCUUUUCUAAACAUGCAUCCUUUUGAAUUCAAAUUCUGAAAAUCUGAGAUGAAAUCUAUAUUUUGUUUUGAGUUUAUCAUGGCCUUAUCUAAUUUGGAAUCGUCAUACCAAGACUUGAAAGUCGUAUGUCUAAGCCAUAUAAUAAUAUGCAUUAGUUCCUUCAAUCCAAUCGAUCCAGUUGACCAACAUAAACAUUUAACAAUGCAAGAGAGUUCUUAUUUUCAAAAAAUAUUUCAAACUAUGCAGGGAUUCUCUCUUUUCAACAUUUCAACAAACAUAUAGUGGUCAAGUACUUUGUAACAAACCAGGCGAUUUCUUUGAAUCACCACUUUUCAUAUAUAUUAACAAGAACCACCCUCUCUUCAGUUUAUAUCCAAAAUCAAGGCUUAAACAAUAGUAAAGACAUUUGAAUCAUGCUUCUCAAUAUGCAAUUGAAUAAUCAUAACAUAUGAAACAAGAGGCUUGACAACAAGAGAGGGAUUUUAAUUGUUCAUUCUCUUAAUUCAACAUUAGAACUCAAAAAUGCAUACAUACUUAUAUACAAGUAAAAAUCUAAUUUAUAGGAAGGCCUCAAGACCAAAACUUUAUCAUAGAAAGGAUUUCACAAUGCAUAAUCGUAAAUGAAAAUUCAAAAUCCAUUGCAAAUUCAUAAUUUCUCAACAUUUAAACAUUAUCAAAACGAUUUUACCAUACCCAUGUAUUUUAGAAAGAUUUCACGUACCUUAGAUUACUUAGUUUUAAGAGUAGAACUCGAAUCUUAAUUUGUUCCUUGGAAAUCUUGGACUUAAGGAUUGAUUUUUCUUGAUUUUUUGUUCUUAGAGGAAACCCUAGUUUGAUCAAGUAUUGGAGAGUGAAGAAGAAUUUUGAUGUUGUAUAACUAAUAAUGAUUGAUCAAUAACAUUUAGAGUUUAACUAAAUUCAUGGGAAAGGUUUUUGGAGUGAUAAAAAGAUCAAAAUAUACCUAAGAAAACCAAAAAAGAUGCAAAACUUCAUCAGUUGACGACCAAGGUUGAUGGGCCAUCACUCAAGUGGCAGGCCAUCACCUAGGUCGUCACUUAGGUCAUCACUUUUGAGAUGGAUUUUACCACUUACUGCCCUAGGAUGAUGGCUGGGGAUGAGGGGCCGUCACCUAGUUGAUAGGUCGUCAGCCUCGUCGUCACAUUUUGGCAGACAGACACUUCAAACUAAAAUGAGCAUAACUUUCUACUCCAAUAUCGGAUUAAGGUGAAACCGGUUGCAUUGGAAAGAAGACUUAAAAAACUUUUAUUUGGUAUAUAAUAGGCCAUAUAACUCCCAAUAUAAAAUAAGUUAUAGUAGAUGGAAUUUCACCCAAGUUUAGACGUUCAUCAAAACUUAAUGGAUAGAAGAGUUUUCAACUCGUCUUUGAGUUUGGGAAUUUUUGUGACCGUAAUUCUUAUUCAAAGGUAUUCACAUCGGAUUGAUCAUUACACAUAUAUUAACAAAGAACCAUUCGGUUUGGGUCUAUACACAUAGAAAGGAAGGUUUAAACUUUAGCUCGAAAGUGCAGGGUGUUAUAUUAUCUCCCCCUUGGGAUUAUUCGUCCCUGAAUAAUGGGUAGGGACUUUUUGAAGCUCUAAAUGUGUAGAAUAAAGAGCGUAACAUCGUAUUGAACAUUUUUCCUCAACAAAAUAUGUGAAGGCAACCAACGAGCUUCAUGAUACCCCUUAGGGAAAUGUGUUAGCAUGAAACAUCAGAUAACGAAACUUGACUUCGACAUGAUCUUCGCAUGUGUUUUAUGGAACAUGAUCAAAACAUUGUAAUACAAGAAUUUUCUGAAGAACCCUCGGCCUGAUUAAGAUUGGUACAAGACAUAAGAUGAGAUUCUCAUGGGACAUAAAAAUAGAAACAUUCUCCACCUUACAAGAUAUAACGAAAAGACUUAAACUUAGAGACACUACUUGUCUAUGCCCCAAAUAAUAAAUUACAUGCCUCAUCAUUUCCAACUUACAAUUCUCCCAAUACUCUUCUAACCACACGAGUUUGAGUCCUACUACAUAGUAAUUUUAUGUUGAAGCCUAAUUCAGAGGAAAGAGGUUCUAGCUUUAGCUAUGGGACCCUAUACUCUAUACCCUAUUAAGAGAAUUAAUUCACCUUUUCACCACCAUCAACCACACUCGAGUUUUAAAUCAAGGAGCACCAACCACAUAACCCAUUAUUUGCAUUUUCAUCAAUCACAACAUUCAAGCCUAUCAUUACUGCACCCACUUCAUAGACCUCCCCACUAAGACCAACCAAUUCAAUCAUUCUCACUAAGGUUUUCGCCACAUAACUCCUUAACUAUCUCUCGUAACGAAAGUUCAUCUCUUUUUUCCCCUUUUCUUAUAGCCUUAUCUCAUGAAACCACAUAAAAAAUUUCACCUUCAAGAACAUCUACCCCCUUGCCUAACUGUAAUGCCCCGAGUCUGGUAUCCCGGAUGCUACACAUUGCUGAUAAUCCCAAAGGACCACUAGCUAGCCCAUAAAUAGUAGCUUUUGUAAGUACUGCAUAAUAGUAAUAUUGCAAUAAACAAUAUUACUAAUACAAAUGAGGAAAUCUAGUGGAAAUUUGCCAUAAGGUUUAAUCUGAAUAAUACUGAAUAAAACGAUGUCUGAACAAGGUAUAAUAAUACCAAAAUAAAAAACAACUAUCUAAAACACUCUAGUCUGAAAGCCUCUAAAACUAUCUAAACUGUGCAGCUAAUGGGACAUGUCCCCAACUAACUCCAUCUACUAAAACUAAACUAAAAUAAUGAAAUAAUGAAACAAUAAUAUUAUCCUCGAAUGAUGAGGACUCAAUACUAGUCUACUGUUGAGAAUCUAAACUGUUAAGGGAGCUCUGGAGCUCAUACAUCUGAACCUAUGGUAUAAAACACCAUAGCGCAAAAAAAAAAUAUGUGUCAGUACGUAUGAAUAUACUGGUAUGCAAAGUGGGGUAGGCUGUAUGCAUGGGUUCAUGUGCAUGAACUAUAACUGACUGAAUAACAUAAAUAGGACUGCGUGAGGAUACAUACAUGAAUACAUACUAUAACUGAAAACAUGAGGAUUCUUAAUACUGAGUUUAAUGAUAACAUGGAUUACUGAUAACUGAUGUAACUGAUGUCUGAUAUACUGAUAACUGAAUGAAUGUUACUAAUAGUACUAAUUCUGAUGGAACUAGCAGAGUUUUGUACUGAGCUGAAUGACUGUAUUUGACAGUCCUGAAAUCUAUAGAACUACCUGAGCUCUUUACUGAAGACUGAGAUUGAGACUGAGACUGUGGGAAGUAAUCAUCUAACCUACAUGCCACUUUUCUAUAUUGAUUUGGGGUCCAACCUGUAACCCUAGUUGGAAGGAUGUCAGUACCGCACCACUGAUAAGAUACUAAAGAUAUACCCUCAUCUGGCAAGUUCUCGAAUGAGAAUGGUGGGACCCUCAACUGACAAGUUAAGCCAUCUCAUCAAUCCUCAUCUGAUAGGUUUUGAUGUCUCAACCUAUGCUGGCCACAUAGUUUUAGAAUGCAAGGAUUUCUUCGAAGAAUCACACCCUCUGCUGGAAGGUGAGUUUCCAUCCUUGGGUUCACUCAGUGUGAAUCCACUCCUAUCUAAAUAGACAUUGAACUGAGUAUACUGGACUGAACUGGACUGAGUUCCUUUAACUGAUGGAAAACUACUGAAUUCUAUUAACUAAAUGAGUUACUGAGGACUGAACUGAAUACGACUAAGCUUUUUGAGUUCUGAGAUUGACUGAAUUCUACUGAUCAAGGCUUAGCUGAGAUUAUCUUGAAAUCUGACAAUGGAUCUAGGUAUAUAGCUAAAUUGUCGAGUAUCAAGUACUCCAAGGACUCGAUAGCAUAGAUAUAAAUAGGACAUGACACUUUUUGAACACAUGACUAUAGUCAACAAUUCAUAAUACAAUCAUUGAGGGAUUUCAUGAAGCACUUGAUAAUCAUAAUCCUGUACAUGAAUAGGAUUACAUUCUAUCCUAUCAUGAUUUCACAAAUCUAAUCUCAUGAGCAUUCCAUCAAACCACUACAAGUCAUAGCAUUAGCAUGGGAAUCAAUUUGAACAUGAGAAUAUAGCAUGGAUUCACAUUUAGAUCACAAUUUGAAUCAUAAUGCACAAUUUUGCUCACUUAGAAAUUUUAUCAAACACAUAGGAUGCAUAACUUUAGGCUUAGGCAUGAACAUUAAACCAAUGCAUCAUUAUUUGCAUUAAUCAAUUCAAACUCAUAGAUUUCAACCCAUAUGCUAACAUAAUUUCAUAAAAUACAUCAUAGAUUCUAACUUGGAAACCAUACAACAACAUUAACAUGGAUUUAAUUCAACCCACAACAUGAAAAUCAUGAUUUAACUUUUAAAAAGAAGAUUCUUGAACUCCAAGGGUGGAAGGGACCCUUGGAUGAACACAUCACAUACCUUUGUUGGAGAAUUCUUGAAAUUUAAUGGAGGAAAUCUUGAGUUCUUGAUUUAAAAUUAUCACCUAGGGUUUUCUUGUUCUUGAGCAAUUGUGAAAUAAUGAAUUUAAUUAGCCAAAAGAGGGCUAAAUUUCAUGUUAUGAGAGCUAAAGAUCAGGGAAAAAAGAUCUAUUUACCUUUAAGGACACGGGUUUACAAGAUAGAAAAAUAUGCCCAGCGAUGCUAUAGCCGACGUGGCGCGUUGAGGGUACCAACAUGAUAACCGAUGCAAUGCAUCAACAUUGUGUCGGUUCACUAGAAAUUUCCUUGAGCUGAGGAAAAUUCCAUCUGUUGAUGCGAUUGACGAUGCGGCGUGCCAACAUCAUAUCGACUCACUAUUUUGGUCAAUUGAACAUGACUUAAAUGUGGUCUAAAAAAUUCAAAACUUGUUGAACCCCUAUUGACAUUCCUGAUCAUGAAUUAACUUACAUAUCAACUAACGGAGGUUGAGAAGGUCAUGAAAUAAAUCCUUGAUGUUCAAAUGCUUAAAAUGAGACUAAGUCCUUUGACACUUAUCUAAAAUUUUCUAAGUGUUGGAUCCCUCAUCAAACUUUAAGGGGCUAAAUUAGACUUAGGAUUUUCGUGGGAUCUUACAAUAUCUCCCCCUUGGAAAUAUUCAUUAUUGAAUAAGACUGACUGAGUAGGGAGAAGUGAUAAACUAAAGUACAUACUGGACAUGCACAACUACAACAUGAUUUUAUGAAUGACAUGACUGAUAAGCUAAAUUUAUCAUGUUGAACAUGCAUAUCUGAUGCAUCAGUAAUUGACUCAUGAAUGCAUGACUGGGAUUUCUGAUAAGCUGAGUUUCUCAUGAUGAAAAUGCAUAUUUGAUGUAUAAAUAUGUGACUGAACUGACACAUGAACAUAUGACUGAAUAUGCAAUGGUAAUUGAUACCAAAUCUAUAAUAACAAUCUUAAUAUUGAAUUGAGUAAGCUUAAAGAAAGCUAUUACCUUGGGAUGAGUCUGAGUUUUUGGAGAAGAGGUGAGGAUACUUGGUCUACAUAUCUGCUUCUGCUUCCCAAGUACCUCCCUCAACGGACUGAUUCCGCCAAAGAACUUUGAAUAGAGGGACUUUUUUGUUCCUCAAUCUGUGAGUUUGAUAGUCAAGGAUUUCGAUUGGGAUCUCUUCAAAAGAGAGGUUUUUUUGAAUAUUUAUGCCCUUUAUAGGGACAACGAUUGCUCGGUCAACGAUUGCUAGAUCUGAAGGUAACUCGAGCUCAUAAGUUAACUUUUUGAAGAAUUUGAGAAUUUUGAAGGGACCGACAUAUCGGGACUGAGCUUUCCCUUCUUUCCAAACCUCUCACUCCCUUCAUGGGAGAGAUUUUCAAGUACAUAUAAUCACUAAUCUCAAACUCAAGAUCCUUUCUACGUAUAUCUAUGUACGAUUUCUUUUAGCUCUAAGCUGUCUUGAGCGUCUCUCUAAUCAACUGAACUUUAUCUAAGGUAUAAAAUACUAAAUCAGGCCCAACAACUACAACAUCAUCGACUUUGAACCAACCGAUUGGAGAUCUGCAUCUCCUACCGUAAAGAGCUUCAAAUGGAGCCAUCUGAAUACUGGAAUAAUUGUUCUUGUUGUAUGCAAACUCAACAAAGGUAAGUGAUCAUCCGAACUACCUUUAAAGUCAAUUGUACAUGCCCUUAGAAUAUCUUCUAAGGUCUGAAUUGUUCUUUCUUCUUGACUAUCUGUCUGAGGAUGAAAGGUUGUACUGAGUGAACUCGGGUGCCAAGAAUCUUUUGGAAUGUUUUCCAGAAAUGAGAGGUAAACUAGGUACCACAAUCUGAGAUAAUGGAUAACGGAACACCGUGCAAUCUAACCAACUUCCUGAUAUAGAGUUUGGCGUAAUCCUAGGCUGAAUAAGAGGUAUGAACUGGAAGAAAGUGAGUUGAUUUGGUCAUCCUGUCUACAAUGACCCAAACUAAAUCAUGCUGAUGACGAGUGUGAGACAAACCCAUCACAAACUCCAUGUUCAAUUCUUCCCAUUUCUAAGUGGGAAUAUUAAACUCCUGCAUGGACCCACUUGGAUUUUGAUAAUCAAUCUUACCCUUCUGAUAUGUUGAGUACUUAGCCAUACACUCUACAAUAUCUCUCUUCAUCCCACUCCACUAAUAGAUCUCCCAUAAAUUGAGAUAUAUCUUUUUGGCCCCUAGAUGAAUAGAGUAACGCGUAUCAUGCACUUCUGCAAGAAUUCAUUGCCUCAAGUCAUCUACACGUGGUACACACAGACAACCCUGACAAUAGAGAACACCAUCUACCCCUUAGGAGAAAACCUCAACCUUCUGGUCUCUAACUGACUCUUUUAACUUGACUAAACUGGGAUCUCUAUCUUGUUUUUCCUUUACCUUGAAAACAAGAGAUAAUUCUGAACUGUUCUGCACCCACAUAUUACCUUCUAUUGAAUCGAAUAAGCGGAUAACUAGUCGGGCAAGUUGAAUUACUUCUUGAACUAACUUCUACUUACCAUCUUUAAUAUUAGCAACACUACCUAUAGAUGGUCUACUGAGAGCAUCAGCCACUAUAUUGGCCUUGCCUGGAUGAUAAAGGACGCUCAUGUCGUAAUCUUUCAAGAGUUCUAACAACCUUCUCUUUCUGAGGUUAAGAUAUUUCUGAGCAAACAUAUAAUGGAGGCUCUUAUGAUCUGUGAACACAUCUUCAUGCACCCCAUACAAGUAGUGCCUCUAAAUCGUUAAGGCAAAACACUACUGUUACUAACUUAAGAUCAUGAGUGGGAUAGUUCUUCUUUGGGUUUUAAGUUGUCUGGAGGCGUAGGCUAUGACCUUACCAUUCUGCAUGAGGACACAACCCAUAUGACCUUACCAUUCUGCAUGAGGACACAACCCAAAUCUACUCUGGAUGCAUCACUGUACACGACAUACUCAUCUGGAGCAUCUGGUAGAGUCAAAACUGGAGCUGAGGUGAGUCGAGUCCUCAACUCCUGAAAAAUCUUCUCGCAUGAAUCUAACCACUAAAACUUGACUUUAUUCUGGGUCAAUCUGGACAUAAGGGAUGUAAUUGACAAAAACCCUUCAACAAAAAACUGACAGUAAUAGCCAGCUAAAACGAAGAAACUUCUGAUAUCUGAUGAAGAGAUGGCUUUUCGGGCCAGUUUCUCACUACUUCAGUCUUUUGAGAAUCAACUCUAAUGCUAUCACUGGAAAUGAUAUGACCAAGGAAUGCUACUGACCUUAGCCAAAAAUCAAAAUUACUAAAUUUGGCAAAUAGUUGUGAUUUCUGAGAGUUUGAAAUACUAUUCUGAGAUGGUCUGCGUGAUCAUGCUCACUGUAGGAAUAGAAAAGAAUGUCGUCGAUAAAUACUAUAACGAACAUGUCCAAGUACUGCUUGAACACAUGGUUCAUCAAGUUUAUGAAAGCUUUUGGGGAAUUGGUAAGACCAAAGGACAUAACUAAGAAUUCAAAGAAACCAUACCAAGUUUGAAAAGCUAUUUUCAAAAUUUCACAUUCUUUGACUCUGAGCUGAUAAUAGCCUGAUCUGAGGUCUAUCUUAGAGAAGUAACUGGCACUCUGAAGUUGGUCAAACAAGUCAUCAAUUCUGGGAAGUGGAUACUUAUUUUUUAUCAUGACUUUAUUUAACUGACGAUAAUCUAUACAUAUUCUGAGAGAACCAUAUUUCUUAUGCAGAAAUAGAACUGGUGCACCCCACGGGGACACAAUGUCCUGAUGAAUCCCUUAUCUAGGAGAUCCUUCAACUAUUAUUUUAAUACUAUGAGUUCUGUUGGUGCCAUUCUAUAUGGCAGAAUAGUUAUGGGCUGAGUAUCUAGAAGGAGGUCAAUGCCAAAGUUUAUUUCCCUUUCGAGAGGAAUUCCUGGAAGAUCUUCAGGAAAGGCAUCUAAGUAUUUAUUCACUACUGGGACUUAUUCAACACUUGGAGUUUCGGAACGAGAGUCCUUAAAUUGAACAAGAUAAUAGACACAUCCCUUAGAUAUCAUUUUUCUUGCCCUUAGGUAGGAAACAAGUUGACCCUUGAAUGCUGAAGUACUAUCCCUCUACUCAGGGACGGGUUCAUUUAAAAACUGAAACUGGAAAAUUUUGUUUCUGCAGUCGAAUGUGGAAUAGCAGAAAUGAAGCCAAUCUAUACUGAGAAUAACAUCAAAAUCAGUCAUCUCUAAUUUGACUAAAUCUGCUAAAGUGACUUUCUGAGAUAUGAUAACAGGAUAGUUCAGUAUACCCGCUAGGCUAGCUCUCUUAUUCUGCUUCUCACUCUCCAUAUUCUUAUGCUCUUCUAUUUGUUAAGCAUGGAUCAUAAGCCUAGACAAUUCCAUCUCAUUAAUCAAUAUUAUAGUCCUGCACUCUUUGACCACACUAUCAUUUACCCUAGACAAAAACUUACUUAUUCAGAAUCUGCUAUCUACCACCACUUGAGGAGCAUAUCUAGGUAGUGGAGUAAACUUGAGAGAAUACUCUUUCACUGUCAUGUUGCCCUGCCUGAGGUUGAUAAAUUCUAACACCUUAUCUUCUCUUAGCUCUAGGGAAAAGAAUCUAUCUAGAAAAGCAGUGGCAAACUCCUCUCAUUCAACUGGCCCUUCAUCUACGGUCCUCUUUUCUUUCCAUUGUUUGAACCAAGUGUGAGCCACAUCUUGAAACUGGUAUGCAACUAACUCAGCACUCUCACUAGAUGACACCCCCAUGAUAUUCAUAACCUUCUAAACCUGAUCAAGGAUUCCUGAGGGUCCUCAUCUGACUUAGACCUAAUAAAGGAUGGAGGGUUCAUUCGGGUGAAGUCCUGAAUCCUAGUUGCAGCAGAAUUGGCCAUUGGGUUGGCCGGAAUAGAAACUGUACGUUCAUUCUGAGUAGCAACUGAAUGAGAUAGAGUAGUGAAUACAGAUUUAUAUUCUACAUGGGAGACAUGUUCCCCCAAAGUAUUAGGCUGAUCGGGCUAAGGGGCUCGCUGGUCUCCCAUUCCUGUUCCCUGAUUCCUCUUUGGAGGCAUUUUUUAUAACUGGAAGAGAAAGAACAUUAGAAUUUGUAAAUGCAAGAGAAGGAAUAAUUAGACUAAGAGUUUAACUAGAGCUCAUGCUCACUCGCAUGACAUGAACACAGAAAGAAGGGAAAUUAUUCCUAAACAUCUCGUAGCCUCCUAUACAUAAAUGUGGCGCGCAAAAUGCUCAUGCACAAGACUUUACUAGAUGCAGCUUUCAGACAUCCUAGGACACUGCUGAACCUUAGACUCUAAUACCAGGUUUGUAACACCCCAAUUUUAGUGUUGGAUCCCUCAUCAAGCGUUAAGGGGAUGACUUAGUCUUAGGAUUUUUGCAGGAUCUUACACUAACGCAUUACUGCUCUUCCACAAUCACCAUCAUACUAACAUACGGAGGUUAUUGAGGGACCCGAGCAUAGACUUCAUGAAUGAAAGUAACAUUUGUCAAACCACAACUUAAACUUAUUGCACUACUCAAGGAGCGACAUGAGGUGAAGAUACGAUAGAAUUAACUCGAAGUGCUUCACAUAUCAAGUGUCCAAAUCAUAGCUAAAGAGUUAUUUGGCAUAAACACAACACUACAUGAUUUCUUUGGACAGACAACAUUGAGAAACAUAAGCACUUACAUCAUGAGUCGUAUAACAAAAGUCCAGAAUUCAUAAAGUCAAUGAUUAAGACAGGGAUUGAUACUUGAAGCUAUUGUUUAUAAUUUUCAAAGCUAAGAUAGUCAUGAGCUUGCAUGCCCCUUAUCACUUUGGGAUAGACCCAACAUAAAAUGGAUUGGUAACACAUAAGAAGCAUAGUUUCGUAGAACCAAGUAUUAUGUGAGACAUGGACUUUUAAUGGAUUAUGAAAAAUAUAACAUAGAUCUUGGAUACUUAGAAUAUUGGAGCACUGAGGGACAUUAUUGCUUCUAGUUUAGAGAUCGGGACAUAACAUUAGCUACAUAGAGAGCUUAAACCUUUGACAUAGGCAAGACUUGAACACAUAAGACAUUUGUAGAUGUCCAUUCAAAUCGAAGUAAGAGAAGCUUGCUUGAAUAAGAAUUGAUUUAUCAUGAUUCUUACUUGAAACUUGACACCACAAGAAAAAAUUCGGGAACUACUUUAAUCCAUCACCUCCCCCUUAGACCAAAGUCACACCCCUAGGCUUGCAGACAUGACCUCACAUAAAAAUCUGUAUCCAUAACUCUCAAUGCAAAUAAGACAUCACCAUAAACUUAAACUCUAAACUCUCCUUGAUGAAUAUACUCUGAAGGCCUUGCUUUGCAACAAAUGCUACUCUCAACUUCUGCUAACCUCUAUAGACAUCACUCUAUAACUCCCACUCUCCUGAUCGUACGCAUCCACACUCCUUAUCAUAAAGGGGUAUCAAUAUACACAUGAAUACAAAUUUCCCUUAAUAAAUAUAUAAAGAUACUAAAUUCUUUCUAGAACCUCCCCCCCCCUUUCCAGGGAAACUAAAUUGUAAUUUCCUCCAACCCACAAGGUCAUUAAGUUAUGAAUACCAUCCUCAUAGCCAUAGACACCCCCUCUUCUAAACACUUAACACUCCAUCUUCAAUUCCUUAGAAUGCUAGCUUUACACCUCGAAUCACACAACUUACAACUUAACAAAAUUUGUGAAACUAUAAAAAAGGCACAUAUUGCCUACCUAUAUUUUCUCAAUUCCGCUAUAACGAACGCCAAUCAACAACUUCUUAGUCUUCCCUAGACCUCUCCAGACUAAAAAUUUCAAGAACACAGACUAGAUACACCAAACACUUAUACACAUAAAAAUUUAUCUAACAACCUGCUCAACUUAUUCGUUUAUACUCACGUUCUUAUCCACUUAACGACUCAACAACAAUUCUUCGUUCUAACACUAACCCCAUGCAUAUAAAUAUAUCAAUAUUGUCCACUCCUUUUUCCACCAGUUUCCAACCUAGGCUAUUGCACACCUCCUAUCAAGCCUACAAGUUUGUUCCUUUAAAAUACACAUCAUUAGUCUUAAGCUACUAUUCUUAUCACCACACUUCACUUCUAAAGUUAAGUCUAUUUUUUAAUAACGCCAAUCUUAUGAAGCAUUACAUAUACUAUACUAGCCAAUCGAAUAGAAAUAUCAAUCUAAGUUUCAUAUUUCAUUUACUAUGGCCCAUAAGUUCAUCCUCUCCACGACAUUAUUUCUACUUCAAAAUCUUAUACAUACCUCCUCCCAUGUAGUACUAAUUUACAACUACUAGAGAAAAGACAAUUAAGGGACUAAAGUCACAUAAUAGGGAUAGUCUAUCUUAAUUUUAUAUUAUAAUCCAUUAUGAUCUUAUCUACUUAAUCCACUCCCUUACAUCAUAUUUACUUACCCACGCAUACAUCACCACUACCUUCAAAAUUUUAUGUACAACAAUGAAUUUCUACCCAUGACUUAUUGACUAAUCUACCCAUUUACAUUCACAGCCUAUGAAUAAUUUCUACAACCACCAUAACUAUCCAUUCUGAGAUCCUCCGUUAUUCUAAAUAAAUAAUAACAAUAUCCCGACUCUUCCUUCAUAGACUACCAUACAAUCUACAACCAUUGCUACCACAUUAGUCUAUCACUAAAAAUGGCAAACCAUUCCUCAAUCAACAGUUAUACAAUUAAAAAUCUUUAUUUACACAAAAGUCACCCUCACUCUGGAUUCUAACCUUGUGACUCCAUAUUACCAACUUCUUGCAUGAUACUUUUAAAUAUACUACUACCCGAGUGGAAAUACAGUUCCAACAUUUUUCUACACAUCAUUACCCUUAUACAUGACAUCUUCAAUAAGAAUUUUAUAAAAGGAGACUAAAUACACUUUGUACCUUGAGAUGAAAAUCAUGAUUUCAUCAAGAUAAAGGUAUACACUCGAAUAAAUACACCUUGAAACACUAAUGGACUCCUCUUAAGUCCUUGUGCUAUCUCAUAACUUUUAGGGAUAACUCUAUCAGAGAGAACCAUCUCGCUGCUAGACUUUUACACUUAUAUUGCCUCAAUAGUGAGGCAUUUCCCAUGAAAUUAUAACGAGGAAAGAAUUUGUAUAACUUUCUUAAGGACGACAUUAUAUCAUAAACUAAAUGAUAAAAGAAUAAGAAAUAACUCCUAAAUACCCGGUAGCCUCCAGAUUAUAAGUGUGGUGAGAAAUACACCAAUAAGCAAAACUCUACUAGACACGACUUUGCAGACUCCCUGGGACCAUGAAUCAUGCUCUGAUACCAAGUUUUUCAUGACCCGAGCCAAGGCACUGGCCAUGAAGGAGAGCCCAAAACGUGAAGGACCGAGAGUCGUUCUCUAAUUGGAAAUUAUAUACACAAUUCAUAUACUAUAAAGAAAAUGCAAAAAAAACAUAACAAGACGGAAACAUGGUCAUUUUUUUGCUUCAACUGAACAAUACAAAAAUGGGUUCAUAAAACAUUCAAAAACACCUAACAUUAGUCUAUGAAAUCUCUAAUAACUCAAAAUCACUACAAUCUGAAUACUGGGACAAGGCCCCCAGCCGGACAUAAAUCAAAAUAAUAAUAUUAAUGUCAAAUCAACGAUGCCUUCCAAAAAUAAGGGAGGAUCACCAACUGCAAACUUUGGACAACCCAAUCUACUGCUUAGCUGGACCCGGGACUAUGUCUCAGAUUUUGAAAUAUAAGGGGUCAAUAUAGAUGUACUAGUAUGCAGAGUAAUCCAAAAUAAUACAUUUGUAUAUUUAAUAUAAAUAAGAGCAAUUCAUAAAACCUUUUACAUAUAAUAUACAAAAACACAUGGGCAUACUUUAAAGAUAUUGAAACACUUUUUUUAAACCAUGACUCACUUAUUAUCUUAGUUCUGAGUUAGGUGGUACACCCUACAUAUCUGAAAGUACCCUACGGGCUAUAUGGGAUCCACCCUUAACUUGGCGGCCAAGCCCUAAACCCAUGUUUGCCGCAAGGGUUAGAAUAUUUGAAUCUGAUAUGCCAUAGGUCACUGGGACAACAUAUAUCCCUCUUUGGGGAAAUAAUAAACCCGUAUCAAAAAAACAUGGUUUCAGGCAAUGAAUCAUAUGACUCGUGCCUACUUCGGGUAACCAUCUAAUUAUCUUAGAGCCCAUUUUUAAUCUUUCCUGAACAUGCAUCUUUCAGAGUUCAAAUUUUGAAAAUCUGAGAUGAUAUAUGUAUUCUGUUUUGAGUUUAUCAUAGCCUUAUCUGAUUUUGUAUCGUAAUACCAUGACUUGCAACUCGUAUGUCUGAGCUAUAUAAUAAUAUACAUUAGUUCCUUCAAUCCAAUCAAUUCAAUUGACCACCAAAAACAUUUAACAAUGCAAGAGAGUUCUUAUUUUCAAAACAUAUUUCAAACUAUAUAGGGAUUCUCUCUUUUCAAAAUUUCAACAAACAUGUGGUGGUCAAGUACUUUGUAAUAAACCACGCAAUUUCGUUGAAUCACCACUUUUAUUUAUAUUAACAAGAACUACCCUCUCUUUAGUUCAUAUCCAAAAUCAAGGCUUACAUAAUAGUAAAGACAUUUGAAUCGUGCUUCUCAAUAUGCAAUUGAAUAAUUCAUAACAUAUGAAACAAGAGGCUUUACAACAAGAGAGAGAUCUUAAUUGUUCAUUCUCUCAAUUCAACAUAAGAACUCAAAAAUGCAUACGUACUUAUAUACGAGUAAAAAUCUAUUUAAGGGGAAGUCCUCAAGACCAAAACUUUAUCAUAAAAAGGAUUUCACAAUGCACAAUCGCAAAUGUAAAUUCAAAGCAUAUUGCAAAUUCAUAAUUUCUAAAUAUUUAAAAAUUAUCAAAACAAUUUCACCAUGCCCAUGUUAGGAAAAUCCCAAGUACCUUAAAUUACUUAGUUUGAAGUGUAGAACCUGUAUCUUGAUUUGUUCCUUGGAAAUCUUGGACUUAAGGAUUGGUUUUUCUUGAUUUCUUAUUCUUGGAGGAAACCCUAGUUUGAUCUUAUAUUUAAGAGUGAAGAGAGAAUUUUGAUGUUGUAUAACUAAUAAUGAUUGAUUAAUAACAUUUAGAGUGUAAUUAAAUUUGUGUGAAUGGUUUUUGGAGUGAGAAAAGACAAAAAUACCCCUAACAAAACAAAAAAUGUCGGAGAACUUCAUCAGUUGAUGACCAAGGUUGAUGGGCCUUCACCUAGGUCAUCACUUUUGAGAUGGAUUUUGCCACUUUCCCCCCUAGGCUGACAACUAGAGCUGAUAGGCCAUCACCAAGUUGAUAGGUCGUCAGCAACGUCAUCACAUUUUGUCAAACAGACACUUCAAAGAAAAAGAGCAUAACUUUCUACUCCAAAAUCAGAUUAAGGUGAAACUAGUUGAGUUGGAAAAAAGACUAAAAAACCUUUCAUUUGGUAUAUAAUAGGGCAUAAAAGUCUCUAUAUACAAGAAGUUAUGGUCGAUGGAAUUUGACCCAAGUUUAGACAUUCAACUAAACUUAAUCGAUAGAAUAGUUUUUAACUCGUCUCUGAGUUUAGGGAUUUUUGUGACCUCAAUUCCUAUUCAAAGGUAUUCACACACUAUAGGAUUGAUCAUCACACAUAUAUUAACAAAGAGUCAUUGGGUUCGGGUCUAUACGCAUUGAAAGGAUGGUUCAAACUUUAGCCCGAAAGUGGCGGGGUUAUAAUAAUUUUUUUCAUUAUGUAUUAUUCAAAUAAGAUGGCAUAUGGAGGGUUACUAUGUCACUCCAUCAAUCAUACUUAGAAGCAGAUGUUCUAGCAAGAUAAUAAGAAACCUGAUUCAUUGAUUUCUUAAAAAAAAAUAAAAAAAUGGUAACUCCUAAAGAAGAGUUUUAUAAUCAAAGACUACUGAAUCAAAAUAAAAUCAAUUCACUAAAAAAAAUCCAGAACUAGUUUCACGAAUAGAUUAUUUGUUUCCACAAUCAACUUUUGUACUAAAUUUCUCCUUUAACCAAAUUGUCACACCCCUUUUUAACCAAAAAAGGAUUAUAUUUAAGUUUUGAAAGAGUUUUUAUUAAUAAGCAACAAAAUGUAGAUUUUUUUCAAAAAAGGACAUUUUAUAUUUAAAACUCAGAGUCGCCACUUAACGUAAAUCGGUUGUGCCAAGUCACCCUUGGAUAUCUUUUUUCAAAAUGGUUUUUACUCUUUAAUCUGGUUUGAGAACAAAGAUUUCAGCUAAGGAAUUCUGUUGAUCGAGGGAAAGGAGUUAGGUCCCUCUCGAUCUCGUGGUUCGACCACAGUCCCUUGGUAGAGCAUAUCAGCUAAUUUGACAUUAUGAAUGUAUAAACCACACAAAAACACACAAAAAUAAUCAAUCAAACAAACAAAGAAAACAAAUUAAAACAUAUAAUCUUCAUUCUAACUAUUACAACCCGAAAUAGAAAAAUGCGAAAAUGUAAACCUAUGCUAACCUACACUAGUCCUAGACUAUGUUCCAACGCUUUACCUGAUGCCUCGGGCGUUCAUCAUGAAUGUCCUCCGAGCACAAAAUACUUCGGGGCAUUUAUUAGUAGAUAAGUAAAAUAUACCUUUGGGGCAUUCCCCGUUGAAUGAAUACAUCUGAAUCAAAUAUGGUAAAUUAGAAAACAUUCAACACACACAUUCAAACAUUCAAUAAAACAUUUGUAAUACCCCACAUAUUUCUAAGCUUGGAAGUGAAUAAGCAUUCCUACGUAUGAAAUCUCCUAUCUUGUGAUUCAUACUUGAGUACAUGACUUAGAAUGAAUAUCCUAGUGAUAGGAUAGCUUAUGAUGCAUUAAUCAUGUUCAUAUGUGUCACUUAAGGUAAUACAAACUAAGAGUUUUUGAAUCCAUCAAGUUUUAGUGUUUGAUUUUACAAGGGUCAUCUUUCAACGAGUAUAACUCGAUGUUAAUGUGGAAUUUUGGCUGAUUUAGACCCACCAAAUUUUAGAGAAUUAAUUAGCUUUCCAACGAUUCCAAUUUUGCCUUAAUCCAAUACCGGAGCGAAAAGUUAUGCCCAUUUUUGUGAGAGAUAGUAAGGAUAGGCGAUUGGUUAGGCGCCGCCCAACCUAGCUUAGGCAAUCACUUGGGCACCACCUAAGUCAGUUUCAGGUGCCAAAAACACUCCGUUAUGAGUUAUUUUAAGGGUAAUUAAGUCUUUUAACACUCCUUACAUGUCCCUAAACUUAACCCUACGAAAUAUAUAGCUUCUAAACAUAUUACAACCCUAUUAUCAUCUCAAAGUUCAUCAUCCAAGAGCACUAAAAGAGAAAAACAACUAGGGUUGCAUAAAUAAGCUUGAAGAUCCGAUUUCAAGAAAAUUCCUCCGUCAAUCAUCAAGAAUCUUCCUUCUAAGGUAUGCGUGAGUUGAUUUAUGGAUCCCUUUUAUCCAUAAAGCUCAAAAACCCUCUUUUUUCAUUAUAAAGUAUGAUUUUUAUAUUGUUGGGUGUUGAUGAUCAUGUUGUUGAUGUUGGGUGAUUUCCAAGAUGGAAUCUUUAUAUGUUUCUUUGAAUUUCAUGAUAUCAUAUGAGUUGGAAACAUGUAAAUUUGGUUGUUCAUGAUGUAUAAUUUGAUGAUUUCACCUAUUCUUAAGAUGUGCAUGUAAGGUGUUUGAUAAAAUGCCUAAGAAACUAGAAAUUAUGCAAUAUAGAUAAAUUGUGACUAAGUGAAGGAUUCAUGAUAUGCCCUUACGUUCCAAUGACUUGUAUGUUGAUAAUGUGCCUUGUAAAUGUUGUUGGAAUACUCAUGAUCUAUUCUUAUGACAUUAUGCUAUUUUUACUUGCAAAUCCUACUUAUGAACAAAAUGUAUGAUAACCAUGCAAUCCACAUGAACAUCCAUGCUAUUGGUAUGUGUUGCCAAUAUGAUUAUGCAAUGAACAUAAUAUUUAGAUUGUGCAAGUACGUCUAUGUGUAUGAAAUCCUUUCCAUGCAAUACAUUGUUGAUAACCAUGCUUAGUAUGAGAUCCCUACUUAUGAUAUUAUAAAUUAUGGACUUUACCCUUAUGAUCAAGUCAGUCAUGUGUGUUAGUUUUCUUCCAUCGAGUCUUAGGGGUACUUGUACCCAAAAACUAUAGUUGUGUGCCUAGAUCCAUUUCAUGUUUCACGAUAUCCGAACUCAAGCUAUGAUUUUAUAGACUUCAGUUAGUCAUGUGACUUAGGAAAACCUCAUGAUCUUAGUCAGUUGUCAAAUAUCAGUAACAUUCUGCCAGUCAAUAGAAUUCAGUAAGAUUAAGUCAUGCACAGUCAGUUAUUCAUGUCCAAACCCUCUAGAUAGGAGUAGAGGUUAGCACGAGUGAACCCAAGGAUGGAAACUCACCCGCCAGUUCAGAGUGUAAUUCUUAGUAGUCAUCCUUGUGUUCUAGAACUACGUAGCUAGCAUAGGUUGAGACAUCUUAAUCUGUCAGAUUAGGGUUGAUGAGGUGGCUUAACCCAUCAAUUUAGAGUUCCCACCAUUCUCAUUGAGUACCCGCCAGAUAAGGGUCACUCACAGGCUGUCCUUACCCAUGACACGGUAUUGACACCCCUCCAGUCGGGGCAGAAAUUGGACCCCAGCUUAGCCAUAAAGGAAUACAUGGGGCAUGUCGAUUAAACACUACUUCCCAUAGUUUCAGUAUCAAUCUUAGUAAAAUAACUCAGGGAGUUCUUCAGAUUUCAGUAUAUACAAGACUGUCAGAUACAGUCGUCCAUGUUAGCAGUUUCAGUAUCAGUCAUGACAGUUAUUAGUAAACUAUGUAUUAGCUUACAGGUCAUGCUAUCACGUAUUCACGGUCCCAGUUUGUAUAUAUGUAUGUUUGUACUCCCACGUUUAUAUUAGUCAGUCAGUGUUGUCCAUACAUGAAACCCUAUAUGUUCAACCUACCUUUCUCGUAUACUCAGUACUCUAGUUUUACUGAUGCAUUUGUGCUAUGGUGCUUUCUUUUCAUGUUACACCAUAGGUUCCGAGACACGAGCUCCAACCCAGCAGUAGCGGUAGCAUUCCAGUCGCAGAGACACAGUGAGUCCUCAUUGAUUCGAGGGCAAUAUGAUUUGAUUAAUUUAUUUAUUUCUUCAGUUUAGUUUUACGAAGUUAGUUGGAGACAUGUUCCUUCAACUCCUUAUUCAGAUAGUUUAAAGGCUUUAGAUUUAUGUUCAGA